AGCGAACGCUGGCGGCAGGCCUAACACAUGCAAGUCGAACGAACUCUUCGGAGUUAGUGGCGGACGGGUGAGUACCACGUGGGAACGUGCCCUUAGGUUCGGAAUCACUCAGGGAAACAUGUGCUAAUACCGCAUGUGCUCUUCGGGGGAAAGAUUUAUCGCCUUUAGAGCGGCCCGCGUCUGAUUAGCUAGUUGGUGAGGUAAAGGCUCACCAAGGCGACGAUCAGUAGCUGGUCUGAGAGGAUGAUCAGCCACAUUGGGACUGAGACACGGCCCAAACUCGUACGGGAGGCAGCAGUGGGGAAUCUUGCGCAAUGGGCGAAAGCCUGACGCAGCCAUGCCGGGUGAAUGAUGAAGGUCUUAGGAUUGUAAAAUUCUUUCACCGGGGACGAUAAUGACGGUACCCGGAGAAGAAGCCCCGGCUAACUUCGUG
Molecule: ribosomal RNA, 433 nt
Filed under: uncultured bacterium
Lineage: Bacteria
Description: partial 16S ribosomal RNA
Rfam family: Bacterial small subunit ribosomal RNA
Source: RNAcentral